UACGUAGGGGGCAAGCGUUAUCCGGAAUAACUGGGCGUAAAGGGUGCGCAGGUGGUUUAACAAGUUAGUGGUGAAAGGCAUAGGCUCAACCAAUGUAAGCCAUUAAAACUGUUUAACUUGAGUGCAGGAGAGGAAAGUGGAAUUCCUAGUGUAGCGGUGAAAUGCGUAGAUAUUAGGAGGAAUACCAGUGGCGAAGGCGACUUUCUGGACUGCAACUGACACUGAGGCACGAAAGCGUGGGGAGCAAACAGG
Molecule: ribosomal RNA, 252 nt
Filed under: uncultured bacterium
Lineage: Bacteria
Also listed under: 1 other name
Description: partial 16S ribosomal RNA
Rfam family: Bacterial small subunit ribosomal RNA
Source: RNAcentral